AACGAACGCUGGCGGCAUGCCUAACACAUGCAAGUCGAACGAGACCUUCGGGUCUAGUGGCGCACGGGUGCGUAACGCGUGGGAACCUGCCCUUAGGUUCGGAAUAACUCCCCGAAAGGGGUGCUAAUACCGGAUAAUGUCUUCGGACCAAAGAUUUAUCGCCUUUGGAUGGGCCCGCGUUGGAUUAGCUAGUUGGUAGGGUAAAAGCCUACCAAGGCGACGAUCCAUAGCUGGUCUGAGAGGAUGAUCAGCCACACUGGGACUGAGACACGGACCAGACUCCUACGGGAGGCAGCAGUGGGGAAUAUUGGACAAUGGGCGAAAGCCUGAUCCAGCAAUGCCGCGUGAGUGAUGAAGGCCUUAGGGUUGUAAAGCUCUUUUACCCGGGAUGAUAAUGACAGUACCGGGAGAAUAAGCACCGGCUAACUCCGUG
Molecule: ribosomal RNA, 433 nt
Filed under: uncultured bacterium
Lineage: Bacteria
Description: partial 16S ribosomal RNA
Rfam family: Bacterial small subunit ribosomal RNA
Source: RNAcentral